RNAcentral lists this ribosomal RNA (692 nucleotides) under Arthrobacter sp. G1_2. Its description in RNAcentral is "bacterial SSU rRNA". It matches the Rfam family "Bacterial small subunit ribosomal RNA", at positions 55 to 762 of the family's 1533-position model. Lineage: Bacteria; Bacillati; Actinomycetota; Actinomycetes; Micrococcales; Micrococcaceae. The record is from RNAcentral.
CUGCAGUCGACGAUGAUCCCAGCUUGCUGGGGGAUUAGUGGCGAACGGGUGAGUAACACGUGAGUAACCUGCCCUUAACUCUGGGAUAAGCCUGGGAAACUGGGUCUAAUACCGGAUAUGACUCCUCAUCGCAUGGUGGGGGGUGGAAAGCUUUAUUGUGGUUUUGGAUGGACUCGCGGCCUAUCAGCUUGUUGGUGAGGUAAUGGCUCACCAAGGCGACGACGGGUAGCCGGCCUGAGAGGGUGACCGGCCACACUGGGACUGAGACACGGCCCAGACUCCUACGGGAGGCAGCAGUGGGGAAUAUUGCACAAUGGGCGAAAGCCUGAUGCAGCGACGCCGCGUGAGGGAUGACGGCCUUCGGGUUGUAAACCUCUUUCAGUAGGGAAGAAGCGAAAGUGACGGUACCUGCAGAAGAAGCGCCGGCUAACUACGUGCCAGCAGCCGCGGUAAUACGUAGGGCGCAAGCGUUAUCCGGAAUUAUUGGGCGUAAAGAGCUCGUAGGCGGUUUGUCGCGUCUGCCGUGAAAGUCCGGGGCUCAACUCCGGAUCUGCGGUGGGUACGGGCAGACUAGAGUGAUGUAGGGGAGACUGGAAUUCCUGGUGUAGCGGUGAAAUGCGCAGAUAUCAGGAGGAACACCGAUGGCGAAGGCAGGUCUCUGGGCAUUAACUGACGCUGAGGAGCGAAAGCAU